GAGUAGUACCGCCCACUCAGUGGUCUGCUGGGUGCUGCGCUGCACCGUGUCAAACAUACCACCAACCUACGGGGAAAAGACAGAAUAAUGCUCACAACAUGUUUAAGAAAAACUAAUGCUGGAUUCACAAACAAUAAGAGCCAAGGUGCUGUCCUUUCUCCAGCUCCUCUCCGGCUGCCUUCAGCACAUGGCCUUGGACUGAAGUGGGCAGCUUGGCUAUUAGUGGAGCCACCAGCCAAACUCCUGACCGCUCGGACGAGCUGCAGAUAAGGAUGCGCUUGAUCCUCUGCCUCUGAGGGUUGUCACCAUCGUCACUGUCUAACUGGCGGUGAGGGUAGCAAAUAAGCUGCAGUAGCCGCUGGGCCUGAAUGUUUACCAGCACUGGGUCCUGGAGGGCACUG
Mugil cephalus (flathead mullet) is the source of this 401-nucleotide long non-coding RNA. RefSeq lists it as uncharacterized. The transcript has 3 exons. Lineage: Eukaryota; Metazoa; Chordata; Actinopteri; Mugiliformes; Mugilidae. The record is from RefSeq and is a predicted model, not a curated record.